RNAcentral lists this ribosomal RNA (301 nucleotides) under uncultured bacterium. Its description in RNAcentral is "partial 16S ribosomal RNA". It matches the Rfam family "Bacterial small subunit ribosomal RNA", at positions 509 to 807 of the family's 1533-position model. The record is from RNAcentral.
CAGCCGCCGCGGUAAUACGGAGGGGGCUAGCGUUGUUCGGAAUUACUGGGCGUAAAGCGCACGUAGGCGGCUUGGUAAGUUAGAGGUGAAAGCCCGGAGCUCAACUCCGGAAUUGCCUUUAAGACUGCCGAGCUAGCAGGUGAGAGAGGUAAGUGGAAUUCCGAGUGUAGAGGUGAAAUUCGUAGAUAUUCGGAAGAACACCAGUGGCGAAGGCGGCUCACUGGCUCAUACUGGACGCUGAGGUGCGAAAGCGUGGGGAGCAAACAGGAUUAGAUACCCCCGUAGUCCCUGUCUCUUAUAC